RNAcentral lists this ribosomal RNA (495 nucleotides) under uncultured bacterium. Its description in RNAcentral is "partial 16S ribosomal RNA". It matches the Rfam family "Bacterial small subunit ribosomal RNA", at positions 28 to 507 of the family's 1533-position model. The record is from RNAcentral.
GACGAACGCUGGCGGCGUGCCUAAUACAUGCAAGUAGAACGCUGAAGGAGGAGCUUGCUUCUCUGGAUGAGUUGCGAACGGGUGAGUAACGCGUAGGUAACCUGCCUGGUAGCGGGGGAUAACUAUUGGAAACGAUAGCUAAUACCGCAUAAGAGUAGAUGUUGCAUGACAUUUACUUAAAAGGUGCAAUUGCAUCACUACCAGAUGGACCUGCGUUGUAUUAGCUAGUUGGUGAGGUAACGGCUCACCAAGGCAACGAUACAUAGCCGACCUGAGAGGGGUGUCGGCCCACCUGGGACUGGGACCCGGCCCAGGCUCCCACGGGAGGCAGCAGUAGGGAAUCUUCGGCCAUGGACGGAAGUCUGACCGGGCAACGCCGCGUGAGUGAAGAAGGUUUUCGGAUCGUAAAGCUCUGUUGUAAGGGAAGAACGAGUGUGAGAGUGGAAAGUUCACACUGUGACGGUAUCUUACCAGAAAGGGACGGCUAACUACCUG